Molecule: non-coding RNA, 148 nt
Filed under: Pan troglodytes (chimpanzee)
Lineage: Eukaryota; Metazoa; Chordata; Mammalia; Primates; Hominidae
Source: Rfam by way of RNAcentral
GCCGGGCGUGGUGGUGUGCGCCUGUAAUCCCAGCCACUCAGGAGGCUGAGGCAGGAGAAUCGUUUGAACCCAGGAGGCAGAGGUUGCAGUGAGCAGAUAUUGUGCCUCUGAACUCCAGCCUGGGCAACAGAGCGAGACUUUGUCUCAA